This is a non-coding RNA of Gymnothorax javanicus (giant moray), 74 nucleotides long. Lineage: Eukaryota; Metazoa; Chordata; Actinopteri; Anguilliformes; Muraenidae. The record is from the annotation of a GenBank genome assembly.
GGCACGGUGGCGCAGUGGUUAGCGCUGCUGCCUCAUGACAAGAAAGUCGUGGGAUUGAAUCCGGCCUGAAGUUU